This 550-nucleotide ribosomal RNA is filed under the name uncultured Glomus. Its description in RNAcentral is "bacterial SSU rRNA". It matches the Rfam family "Eukaryotic small subunit ribosomal RNA", at positions 548 to 1098 of the family's 1831-position model. Lineage: Eukaryota; Fungi; Glomeromycota; Glomeromycetes; Glomerales; Glomeraceae. The record is from RNAcentral.
UUGGAGGGCAAGUCUGGUGCCAGCAGCCGCGGUAAUUCCAGCUCCAAUAGCGUAUAUUAAAGUUGUUGCAGUUAAAAAGCUCGUAGUUGAAUUUCGGGAUUAAUUUAUUGGUCGUGCUAUUGUACGUACUGGUAUUAUUGAUUCCUACCUUCUGACGAACCAUGAUGUCAUUAAUUUGGUGUCAUGGGGAAUCAGGACUGUUACUUUGAAAAAAUUAGAGUGUUCAAAGCAGGCCCUUUGGGCUUGAAUACAUUAGCAUGGGAUAAUAGAAUAGGACUUUUGGUUCUAUUUUGUUGGUUUUUGAGAACCAGAGUAAUGAUGAAUAGGAACAGUUGGGGGCAUUCAUAUUCAAUCGCUAGAGGUGAAAUUCCUAGAUUGAUUGACGAUGAACUACUGCGAAAGCAUUUGCCAAGGAUGUUUCCAUUAAUCAAGAACGAAAGUUAGGGGAUCGAAGACAAUCAGAUACUGUCGUAGUCUUAACCAUAAACGAUGCCGACUAGGGAUCAGACAGGCUUAUAUUUAAUGACCUGUUCGGCGCCUUACGGGAAAC